CCCUUAGAUGUUCUGGGCCGCACGCGCGCUACACUGAUGCACUCAACGAGUUUCUUCCUGGUCCGAGAGGAAUGGGUAACCUUUUGAAAGUGCAUCGUGAUAGGGAUAGACUAUUGCAAUUAUUGGUCUUCAACGAGGAAUUCCUAGUAGACGUAGUUCAUCAGACUGCAUCGAUUACGUCCCUGCCCUUUGUACACACCGCCCGUCGCUCCUACCGAUUGAAUGCUCAGGUGGGCCAUCCGGACUUUCAUCAUGCUGGUUUCCAAUUUUGAUGAAGGAAAGUCUUGCGAACCUUAUCAUUUAGAGGAAGGAGAAGUCGUAACA
This 324-nucleotide ribosomal RNA is filed under the name uncultured eukaryote. RNAcentral describes it as "partial 18S ribosomal RNA". It matches the Rfam family "Eukaryotic small subunit ribosomal RNA", at positions 1470 to 1796 of the family's 1831-position model. The record is from RNAcentral.